RNAcentral lists this non-coding RNA (210 nucleotides) under Paenibacillus sp. Lineage: Bacteria; Bacillati; Bacillota; Bacilli; Caryophanales; Paenibacillaceae. The record is from RNAcentral.
AAUAAUGAACGCUGAUGAGGUCCCGGAAAGCGGCGCAGCGCCGCUUCUUCGGGUGAAAAGGGAAGCCGGUGCAAAUCCGGCACGGUCCCGCCACUGUAAAACAGGUAUGUCCCGAUAUGCCACUGUUCCGCCACGAAGGCGGGAUGGGAAGGCCGGGACGAUAUCGCCCCGCCUGUAAGUCAGGAGACCUGCCUCAUGAGCUUAAUGACG